CCUAGAGUUGUAGGCUUUGCCUGCUAUCUCUUACCCAUGUCUUUUGAGUACCUUCGUUUCCUCGGCGGGUCCGCCCGCCGAUUGGGCAAUUUAAACCAUUUGCAGUUGCAAUCAGCGUCUGAAAAAACUUAAUAGUUA
This 138-nucleotide unclassified non-coding RNA is filed under the name soil metagenome. Its description in RNAcentral is "partial internal transcribed spacer 1". The record is from RNAcentral.